RNAcentral lists this ribosomal RNA (306 nucleotides) under Triticum aestivum (bread wheat). RNAcentral describes it as "partial small subunit ribosomal RNA". The record is from RNAcentral. Lineage: Eukaryota; Viridiplantae; Streptophyta; Magnoliopsida; Poales; Poaceae.
AUGGCUCCAUCCAUCAGCUGGCCAAGCUCUGGAGUGCUCACCUCCGGCCUAGCAUGGUCGCCCCCAACAUUCAUCAAUGAUGAGUUUGAAGCGUCUGAGAGCGACCAGUCUGUGGGCGGGGAAGAGGUGGAGCAGGUCGGGGGUGGCGACUCGUCGGAAGCAGGGCAAGGAAACAACGAAGCUGAUACGGUGAGCAUAACCGGGGGUGAGGAUGAAGAUUUUAUGGAUGAAUGUGUUUGUUUGAUUGUUGUUUCCAAUUGGUUUGUUGUUGCAGGAAUCUAUGGAAGGCCGGAUCGGGAUGAAUGA